GAUGAACGCUGGCGGCGUGCUUAACACAUGCAAGUCGAACGGAAAGACCCUGCUUUUGUGUGGUGCUUGAGUGGCGAACGGGUGAGUAACACGUGAGUAACCUGCCCUUGACUUUGGGAUAACUUCAGGGAACUGGGGCUCAUAUACGAUAGGAGCUCCUGCUGCGUGGUGGGGGAUGGAAAGUUUCGGCGGUGGGGGAUGGACUCGCGGCGUAGGAGCUUGUUGGUGGGGUAGGGGGUUACCAAGUCUUUGACGGGUAGCCGGCCGGAGAGAGUGACCGGCCACCUGGGAGCUUGGACACGCACAUUACGCCUAAGGGAGGGACCAGUGUGGUACGUGCGGCAACAGGCGGAAACAUGACACAGUGAGCCCGCGUCUGAUGCGAAGACGUCGGGUGCGGAAUGACCGCCUUUGGGGUGUGAACCGCUUUCGCCUGAGACGAAGCGUGAGUGACGGUACUGGAUAAAGAAGCACCGGCUAACUACGUG
Molecule: ribosomal RNA, 488 nt
Filed under: uncultured bacterium
Lineage: Bacteria
Description: partial 16S ribosomal RNA
Rfam family: Bacterial small subunit ribosomal RNA
Source: RNAcentral